This 77-nucleotide small nucleolar RNA is filed under the name Cottoperca gobio. RNAcentral's name for it is "Small nucleolar RNA SNORD26 (ENSCGOG00000020157.1)". It matches the Rfam family "Small nucleolar RNA SNORD26". From Rfam's summary of the family: U26 is a member of the C/D class of snoRNA which contain the C (UGAUGA) and D (CUGA) box motifs. The record is from RNAcentral. Lineage: Eukaryota; Metazoa; Chordata; Actinopteri; Perciformes; Bovichtidae.
CUGCAGUGAUGAUAAACAAGAACUCUCUCUUGCCGAAUCAGCCUUUGAAGAAAUUUCUUUACCAGAUUCUGAGCAGC